Hippocampus zosterae (dwarf seahorse) is the source of this 4183-nucleotide long non-coding RNA. RefSeq lists it as uncharacterized. The record is from RefSeq and is a predicted model, not a curated record. NCBI's taxonomy places the organism in Eukaryota, Metazoa, Chordata, Actinopteri, Syngnathiformes, Syngnathidae. The transcript is spliced from 2 exons.
AACUGUUUUUUUUUUAAAUCCCCUGUGGUUCGCGUUGCCAGGUUGGAAUCGCAAUUGGUUCUGAAGUUUUAUUUUAUUUUUUUAAAAUAAUAAUAUGACGUUUUUGUUCCAAAGAGCUUUAUGAUUUUCACACACACACACACACACACACACAUACAAACUAAAAAUAAAUACCGGUAACCUGACAAUGACACAUUCAUUCAUCGUAUUCAGGUCGGCAGCUCGGUGACCACUUCCUGUUUAGCAGCUAAUUGCUAAUCACUUAAUUACUCAUGCUGCGUUUACUUUUGCAGGAGGUCAGCCACCGCGACCUUGGGGGCUACUUUAGUUUGGAAAAAAAAAAAAAAGGGGAGUGGGGGUGGCUGGGAUGUGGAUGACGAUCGUGCCCUUUACUCAUAAGCAAAGUAAGAUAGCGGCACGAUACGGCACAUGUCAAACUCACCCACAGGUUGUUUACAUAAUAUGCAGAGCAAACACGUCCGAGGUUCCAGCGACUCGACUGACAUAUGUAUGGGAAGAGAUUUCGGGCAGCUUAGGGGAAUUCCACUAUUUUGGUUUCGAAAUGGUAAAAUUGUUUAUUUUAUGUAGAGCGCCAGUCUUCCCGACCACGUUCUUUCACGAAUGCGAAGCGAAUGACUUUCUCAGAGAAUUUUCCACAGUCAAGCGAGCUGCCAGAAUGUAAGGUUUGCAAAGACAAAAAUCCGAAUGAGCGCUUACGGGAAACAAAGUAAAUUUAGUGGCCGCAUAAUAGACAUCAUGAAGAGUAGAAUAGAAUUACGUGGUUUUCCUUCUCCCUUCUCGUUGGCUCUGUUUUUAUUCAAAUCUUUGCCAGCCUUUGUUUCCGCGAAGCCUUUGGACCACCAAAAAAUGCUCUGGAUCGGUUUCAUAAUAUACACGAGGAAAAAUAUUCAAUGUGUGACUCAUCAGUCUGACAAAAACCACACUUUUGCCCCCAAACCACAAUGAUCAGACACAAUAGCGAUGCUUAUGACACCCAUUUUGUACGCUCUAUUAGAUUCCUAUGGAGAAAAAGCCGCUCUCACAAUGCAAACACUCACUUGCACUUGCAAAUGGACAGAAUUUGUUUCUUGACAUUUCUAGUUUUACGAUAGACAUUUGCAAGACAGCUGUGAGCGCUGUGUUCUGAUCAAAUAGCUUUUCGCCAAGAGACCACUUUACCGCGGCCAAUGAUCCGCAAGUGAAGAUCUUGCAGUUCCUUAAAAGUGUACUUUUUGAUCCGCUGCACAGACUGCAGGAAGUAGUAGACCGUGCAACUCAUGGUUCGUUUGCCUUUUAUUUUUUGUAUAAGCUUAACCUGUAAGACCAAAACAUGGGGUACGAUACGUGGAAACAACACCUUGACAAAAGAAUCGCAUGUUAAACGGCAAUUCUAAUUCAUUCAGGCCCUACUGUAUCUAUGAAGUGAAAAUUGGACUUUCAAAGCUUCUACACGCUAAGAAAUCACCCACUAACGACCACUUGUGGAUGCAAUGACACAUCAGAGUGACUCUUUGUCUGGUUGCUGCUGAAGCACAAGUUUUAUUUUUGUACAAGAUCUUAGCUUGAAAUCACUUCAACUUCUUUAUUUAUUUUAUUUUAUUUUUUUUGCAGCACAUUCUGUCUUUUCCUCUCGCUCUCAUUCCACAUCCCUCCUUUCCUUGGCUGCACUGCUGACUGGCCUCUCCUGGGAGCGUGCCUGCUUUGAUUUGGAGCUCAGGUCCGAGCUCUGAAACCAAAGCUAAAACAAACACGCACUUGGCCACCACCUCUGCAAAUGCACACAUGCGUACGCCGCGCGCACGCAGCUGGAAACAAAGCGCAGAUUCCCCCCCCCCACCCCCCACCCCCCCCCCCCCCCCCCCCCCCCGCCUGCCUGCAGUUUGGAAGCAAAGUUUGAUGUUGUGUAUUUGUAAAGAAAAAAAAAAAAGCAUGAAUAAACGAAAGCUACAUUCCUCCGCCGGCACGUAAUGACUAAAACAAAUGCGUUUCACUAUCUGUCCAUUGACUGUGAUAUACGUGAUGUCAUUCGUUGGAUGGGGUGAAUGGAUAAAUGACCUGAAACGGACGGGGAAAACAAUUCAAGACAAAGAGAAUGUUCUUCAACUCAGUAUCUUGAUCAGAACCCAACAGAGCAUUUACUGACGACAAAAACGAAGGCAGCAAGACUCACAACGGCCUGGCAAAAACAAACAAAAAAACCCCCAAACAAAAUCCCCGAAAAUCUCCAGGAAGGACCACAAAUUUGGUCCUGAUGCGGAUUUGGAGCUGGGAGUCGCGGCUUGGAGUUUGAAGCGGAUUACGUGGGACAGGAGAAGUGAUGUGAGACUAAUAAAGGGUUUCUUCUUCUUCUUCUUCUUCUUCAAAUCAAUCACUCACAUCACUUCUGCACUCGAAAAUGGAACCCCCGUGUCAUCAAAUGUGCGGCCUCCCUAAAGACCAUCCCAUGAAAUGCCAAAUGCCAUGUUUUAGUUUUAUUUUUUUCUGAAACUACUUAAAUGAAAGCAAAGAGUCAAUCACAUGGUGUUUGUUUCAAUUCAAAUCCAUCGCGCCGGCGUUCAAAGGUGCGUUUGGGCCUCGCUCUACGCGAUCAUUAUCGCGUUGCCACAACAACAAAGACUUCAGCACAGAACCGUAUGUAAUUUGUUCUGGUUCGGAUUUAGCCCUUAUAUGUUACCCCCCCUGUCACCUCCCCCCUUUCUCCGUGCACAUGUGUGUAGCGAGCGCCGACAUAAAGGCUUCUUUAUUCAGCCCUGACAGCGAGAGGAAAUCAGCUUUAGAAGCAAAAACAGAGGGAGCCAGAGUGCGAUGGAGACCACAGGCCCGCACAUCUGGAGUUAUUACAAGGCCUCCCCCCCCCUCCUCCUCCUCCUCCCACACACACACACACACACCAACAAAACGCAGACAUUCCUCCCCCGGGCCUCCGCUCUCAUCCACAUCUCCUGCCUCCAUCCCUUCAGCGUGCAAAUCAUCGAUCACGCAUGGACAGAGUGGACUGGAUGGAGGGAUGCGGCGGGAUGAGCGAGAAACUUUACAACCGAACGAAUGGCCCUGGCUUCCUGUUCACCUUUGAACUUCCACUUUCUCCUUGGAAGCCGGCGAGGGCCGGGGGGGGGGGGGGGGUGUAGUGGUGGUGGUCAUGGUGGCAGAAAAGGGGAGGGAUGGGGGGGGGUGGUUAAGGCAAAUGUGAAGGAGGGUGCAGAGGAAGCAGAAAGGGACAGAGAAUGAGGUGGAGGGGGGAGCUCCUCCUCUUUCUCUCUCCCUAUCUCCUCUCUUGCUCCCGCUCGCCCAUUUUCCUCCUUCUGUCUCCUGGAGGGGAAACUUGUUGGUGGUCAGUCCGCUGCCACGUCAAGCCUCCAGCAAGGUGGACGCAGUGGAGUGCCAUUCUUUUUUUUUUUUUUCGGGGAGGGGGUGGGGGGCUGGGGUCUAACUUUGGGAAGGCAAACGAUGGGAAAAGUUUUCUAUUCUAGGUUUGACUAUUUACUCUUGCAGUCAAUGUGGAAGAUGAGCGCCCUCCCCUCUCCCCAUCCGCCUCACCCGCUCAAAAAAAAAAAAAGUGGAACAAGAAGUUGCAAAGAAGAGAUGCUCCAAUUUCAGGUAAGCCCAUUUACGAUGAAGAUGGGGGGGAAGUUGGGGAUGGCAGCACUUUCGCUGUACGCUUGAAAUCUCGGUUGCAAACUUUUUGUGAAUGUAAGCGAAAUAGACAAGCUUUCAACGCGUUUCCUCUCGACAGAUGUCUGGAAUGCGCCGCACAGCGGGAUGCUGGCUAGAAUCUGCCAUUCACCUCCAUCUCACCUCACCUCCUCCCACUCUAACCCUCACCCUCAUCCUCAUGGGUUCCAGUGAGUAAAAGCAUGCGCUCCGUUUUGUUUUGUUUCAGGAAAACGAAACAAAUAAAUGCAGCAUCCAUCAAGCCCGGCCCGCCCGCCCAGUGUUCAGACUACCUGUUCAGGAAGUAGUGGUUGUACAGUAGUCUGCACAUUGGUUAGGCUGGCCCGGGGAAGCACGGGAACAGAACCAGCACUUCAGAAGCAGCCCAGAAGAACCCAUUUGAGUGGUUCUGAAUGGACCACAAAAUCCUCAAAGAAAGUGACUCAGUGACGGUGCUGCUGAUGUCACCUUGACGCAAUGUAAUGAUUUUACUAAAUCGUGUUCAAUUUGUAAAAGAAAGAAAAGAAAUAAA